GGGGUUGUGGCUCAGUGGUAGAGCACUUGCCUAGCAUGUGUGAGGUCCUGGGUUCAAUCCUCAGCACCA
This 69-nucleotide transfer RNA is filed under the name Marmota marmota marmota (Alpine marmot). It matches the Rfam family "tRNA". From Rfam's summary of the family: Transfer RNA (tRNA) molecules are approximately 80 nucleotides in length. Their secondary structure includes four short double-helical elements and three loops (D, anti-codon, and T loops). The record is from Rfam by way of RNAcentral. RNAcentral also lists the same sequence under 2 other names. Lineage: Eukaryota; Metazoa; Chordata; Mammalia; Rodentia; Sciuridae.